This 253-nucleotide ribosomal RNA is filed under the name uncultured bacterium. Its description in RNAcentral is "partial 16S ribosomal RNA". It matches the Rfam family "Bacterial small subunit ribosomal RNA", at positions 524 to 776 of the family's 1533-position model. The record is from RNAcentral.
UACGAAGGGGGCGAGCGUUGUUCGGAUUUACUGGGCGUAAAGGGCGCGUAGGCGGCUUAACAAGUCACUUGUGAAAUCUCCGGGCUUAACUCGGAACGGCCAAGUGAAACUGUCAAGCUAGAGUGCAGAAGGGGCAAUCGGAAUUCUUGGUGUAGCGGUGAAAUGCGUAGAUAUCAAGAGGAACACCUGAGGUGAAGACGGGUUGCUGGGCUGACACUGACGCUGAGGCGCGAAAGCCAGGGGAGCAAACGGG